Molecule: unclassified non-coding RNA, 266 nt
Filed under: uncultured Talaromyces
Lineage: Eukaryota; Fungi; Ascomycota; Eurotiomycetes; Eurotiales; Trichocomaceae
Description: sequence contains ITS2
Source: RNAcentral
AACGCACAUUGCGCCCCCUGGCAUUCCGGGGGGCAUGCCUGUCCGAGCGUCAUUUCUGCCCUCCAGCCCGGCUGGGUGUUGGGUGCUGUCCCCCCGGGGACACGCCCCAAAGGCAGUGGCGGCGCCGCGUCGGGUCCUCGAGCGUAUGGGGCUUUGUCACCCGCUCGGGACGGACUCGUCGGCGCUGGUCUUCCUCCAGGCGACCCUUCGGGGCCCGUCUACCUUCGGUUGACCUCGGAUCAGGUAGGGUUACCCGCUGAACUUAA